RNAcentral lists this ribosomal RNA (465 nucleotides) under Vreelandella stevensii. Its description in RNAcentral is "partial 16S ribosomal RNA". It matches the Rfam family "Bacterial small subunit ribosomal RNA", at positions 338 to 795 of the family's 1533-position model. Lineage: Bacteria; Pseudomonadati; Pseudomonadota; Gammaproteobacteria; Oceanospirillales; Halomonadaceae. The record is from RNAcentral.
CCUACGGGAGGCUGCAGUGGGGAAUAUUGGACAAUGGGGGGAACCCUGAUCCAGCCAUGCCGCGUGUGUGAAGAAGGCCCUCGGGUUAUAAAGCACUUUCAGUGAGGAAGAACGCCUGGUGGUUAAUACCCAUCAGGAAAGACAUCACUCACAGAAGAAGCACCGGCUAACUCCGUGCCAGCAGCCGCGGUAAUACGGAGGGUGCGAGCGUUAAUCGGAAUUACUGGGCGUAAAGCGCGCGUAGGUGGCUUGAUAAGCCGGUUGUGAAAGCCCCGGGCUCAACCUGGGAACGGCAUCCGGAACUGUCAAGCUAGAGUGCAGGAGAGGAAGGUAGAAUUCCCGGUGUAGCGGUGAAAUGCGUAGAGAUCGGGAGGAAUACCAGUGGCGAAGGCGGCCUUCUGGACUGACACUGACACUGAGGUGCGAAAGCGUGGGUAGCAAACAGGAUUAGAUACCCUAGUAGUC